This 497-nucleotide ribosomal RNA is filed under the name uncultured bacterium. RNAcentral describes it as "partial 16S ribosomal RNA". It matches the Rfam family "Bacterial small subunit ribosomal RNA", at positions 28 to 507 of the family's 1533-position model. The record is from RNAcentral.
GAUGAACGCUGGCGGCGUGCCUAAUACAUGCAAGUCGAGCGAACAGACGAGGAGCUUGCUCCUCUGACGUUAGCGGCGGACGGGUGAGUAACACGUGGAUAACCUACCUAUAAGACUGGGAUAACUUCGGGAAACCGGAUCUAAUACCGGAUAAUAUAUUGAACCGCAUGGUUCAAUAGUGAAAGACGGUUUUGCUGUCACUUAUAGAUGGAUCCGCGCCGCAUUAGCUAGUUGGUAAGGUAACGGCUUACCAAGGCGACGAUGCGUAGCCGACCUGAGAGGGUGAUCGGCCACACUGGAACUGAGACACGGUCCAGACUCCUACGGGAGGCAGCAGUAGGGAAUCUUCCGCAAAGGGCGAAAGCUUGACGGAGCAACGCCGCGUGAGUGAUGAAGGUCUUCGGAUCGUAAAACUCUGUUAUUAGGGAAGAACAAAUGUGUAAGUAACUAUGCACGUCUUGACGGUACCUAAUCAGAAAGCCACGGCUAACUACGUG